ACCGUUGAGANACGAGUGCUGCAUGGNUGUCGUCAGCUCGUGUUGUGAAAUGUUGGGUUAAGUCCCGCACGAGCGCACCUAUCUGUGCAGCGCGCCGACUCAGAGACUGCCAGUGAUAAACUGAGAGGGAUGACCGUCAGUCAUCAUGCCUUACGACCAGGGCUACACACGUGCUUACAAUGGCGCAUACAAAGAGAAGCGACCUCGCGGAGAGCAAGCGGACCUCAUAAAGNGCNUCUGUAGUCCGGAUUGGAGUCUGCAACUCGNCUCCAUGAAGUCGGAAUCGCUAGUAAUCGUGGAUCANAAUGCCNCGGGNGAAUACGUUCCCGGG
This 331-nucleotide ribosomal RNA is filed under the name uncultured Shigella sp. RNAcentral describes it as "partial 16S ribosomal RNA". It matches the Rfam family "Bacterial small subunit ribosomal RNA", at positions 1023 to 1378 of the family's 1533-position model. Lineage: Bacteria; Pseudomonadati; Pseudomonadota; Gammaproteobacteria; Enterobacterales; Enterobacteriaceae. The record is from RNAcentral.